Molecule: ribosomal RNA, 499 nt
Filed under: uncultured bacterium
Lineage: Bacteria
Description: bacterial SSU rRNA
Rfam family: Bacterial small subunit ribosomal RNA
Source: RNAcentral
GAUGAACGCUAGCGACAGGCCUAACACAUGCAAGUCGAGGGGCAGCACAUGAGUAGCAAUACGAUGGUGGCGACCGGCGCACGGGUGAGUAACACGUAUGCAACCUGCCUGUAAGAGGGGAAUAACCCGGAGAAAUUCGGACUAAUACCGCAUAAUACCACGAGACUGCAUGGUUUUGNGGUUAAACAUUUAUGGCUUACAGAUGGGCAUGCGUAUGAUUAGAUAGUUGGUAGGGUAACGGCCUACCAAGUCUACGAUCAUUAGGGGUUCUGAGAGGAAGGUCCCCCANACUGGUACUGAGACACGGACCAGACUCCUACGGGAGGCAGCAGUGAGGAAUAUUGGUCAAUGGGCGAGAGCCUGACCAGCCAAGUCGCGUGAAGGAAGAAGGUUCUAUGGAUUGUAAACUUCUUUUGCAGGGGAAUAAAGGACGGUACGUGUACUGUUUGUAUGUACCUUGCGAAUAAGGAUCGGCUAACUCCGUGCCAGCAGCCGCGGU